AACGAACGCUGGCGGCAGGCCUAAUACAUGCAAGUCGAGCGCCCCGCAAGGGGAGCGGCGCACGGGUGAGUAACGCGUGGGAAUAUGCCCUUCAGUACGGAACAACAUCGGGAAACUGGUGCUAAUACCGUAUAAUGACUCCGGUCCAAAGAUUUAUCGCUGAAGGAUUAGCCCGCGUCUGAUUAGCUAGUUGGUGAGGUAAUGGCUCACCAAGGCUUCGAUCAGUAGCUGGUCUGAGAGGAUGAUCAGCCACACUGGAACUGAGACACGGUCCAGACUCCUACGGGAGGCAGCAGUAAGGAAUAUUGGACAAUGGGGGAAACCCUGAUCCAGCCAUGCCGCGUGAAUGAAGAAGGCCUUCGGGUCGUAAAGUUCUUUUAGCUGUGACGAUAAUGACGGUAACAGCAGAAAAAGCUCCGGCUAACUCCGUGCCAGCCGCCGCGGUAA
Molecule: ribosomal RNA, 447 nt
Filed under: uncultured bacterium
Lineage: Bacteria
Description: partial 16S ribosomal RNA
Rfam family: Bacterial small subunit ribosomal RNA
Source: RNAcentral